RNAcentral lists this long non-coding RNA (256 nucleotides) under Carica papaya (papaya). RNAcentral's name for it is "long non-coding RNA (CPAP_LNC006322)". The record is from RNAcentral. Lineage: Eukaryota; Viridiplantae; Streptophyta; Magnoliopsida; Brassicales; Caricaceae.
UGCUGAAGCCAUCUCCGACUGCCAAAAAAGGUAACAAAAAUUUCAUUUGCUCGAAAUUUAAUUUUGAAAAUACCCAUGGCCUAAUCGGAGUAAAAAGAUCGGCGGAUAAGCCAAAAAUUGCGGGUAAAGUCCGGCGGCACAACCGUGGGAAAAAUUAAAAAUCGCAUAUGAUGAGACCCUUCCUGAUUCCCAUUUCGUACAAUUUUUCUACUAUUAUAAUCACCAUUCCUUUUUCUAUAGGUUGACCAAAACAAAA